RNAcentral lists this unclassified non-coding RNA (154 nucleotides) under uncultured fungus. RNAcentral's name for it is "sequence contains ITS1, 5.8S rRNA gene". The record is from RNAcentral. Lineage: Eukaryota; Fungi.
CAGGACGCACACGCCUCCCGUAAGCCCUGUGAACGCACCCGAACCCGUUGCCUCGGCGGACGUCCCCCCCCCCCCACCAGGGGGGGGCGGACACCGCCGGCGGCCCCCUACCCUGGCAGCACGUUGGCAUCUCGGAGCAGACAGCAACGAAUCA